Molecule: long non-coding RNA, 960 nt
Organism: Lutra lutra (Eurasian river otter)
Lineage: Eukaryota; Metazoa; Chordata; Mammalia; Carnivora; Mustelidae
Exons: 3
Source: RefSeq, a predicted model, not a curated record
CCAUCUCGGAGCCCUGGUCAGGGCUGUGCCAACUCCUCAGACCGUGGCACUGCGGCUUCAGCGUUUCUUUCCCUUUUCUUUCCCCGGACCCCACUCAGGCUGCUAGUGAAUACUCCUCCGGGGAGUGGCUCCCACCACACCCUGGCCCUGCCCACGGGCUGUACUGGGAGAUCCUGGAGCAGGGGGAGGGGACGUCGUAUCACGCGCGUGGACGUGAGGCGCGCCAGGUCUUUGUCUCUGGGCUGCCAAGUGGGGUGGGCCAGGGUUAAGGGCGGAUGCGGGGGUGCCUUGGACUGACACCAUUAGAACAAGCAGCCAGGAGAAAGUACUUCAUAGGGCCCGCACCAACCUGCCCUGCAUUCCCCGGACGACCAUGACCACCCAAGCUCAGGGAGUGUUCAGCAAUUAUGUGGAAUAGGAUAUUAACAGGAGCUGCCACAUAGUGAAUUCCUCUUAAAUUAAUCCUCCUUACCAGUCUAAAAUAAGCCACUGGCUGUUCAAGGAACUCAGUCAAAUAUGAGAUGUGUUUCCUGACUCAUUGAAGAUUAAUAUGUGUGAAAAUGAUUCAUCAAAUGCUGAACUGAAGAAAGUCCUUUCCUGCUUGUUGCUAGGUAUUUGAAAAAGGCGUUAUCUAUCUAUCUAUCCAUUCAUCUAUCCCCAUACACCUGCACUAUUACAUACUAAUGAUUAAGAGUAUAACCCUAGUACACCAGGGCUCAGACACUGACUUUAUUAUAUAUUAUUUUUAGAACAUUUGGGUUAUUAUAUAACUUUUUCAGACCCCAGAUUUCCUUGUCUGUAAGAAAAAUAUUAAUAUGAGUAAUGUUCAGAUUUAAAGUGAAUAUUAAAGAUAUAAUGUAUACAAAGCUUUUAACCUAUUCUUGUCACAUACACGCUCUAAAAUAUGUUACUUCUUUUGUUAGUUUUACUACUGCUGCUGUUGCUGCUACUUCUGCUAUU